Molecule: long non-coding RNA, 1950 nt
Organism: Cyprinus carpio (common carp)
Lineage: Eukaryota; Metazoa; Chordata; Actinopteri; Cypriniformes; Cyprinidae
Source: Ensembl
CUGAUUUCAGAUGCAAAAACUUCUGAGUCUGUCUGAUUAAAAUAAUUUUAUUUAUUUCUAUGUGCAUUUAUAUAUAUAUAUAUAUAUACAGUACAGACCAAAAGUUUGGAAACAUUACUAUUUUUAAUGUUUUUGAAAGAAGUUUCUUCUGCUCAUCAAGCCUGCAUUUAUUUGAUCAAAAAUACAGAAAAAAAAAUGUAAUAUUGUGAUAUAUUAUUACAAUUUAAAAUAAUUGUUUUUAAAUUUAUUAUACUUUAAAUUAUCAUUUAUUUCUGUGAUGCAAAGCUGAAUUUUUAGGAUCAUUAUCACAUGAUCCUUUAGAAAUCAUUCUAAUAUGAUGAUUCAUUAUCAAAGUUGGAAACAGUUCUGCUGCUUAAUAUUUUUUCAGAACAUGUGAUACUUUUUUAGGAUACUUUGAUGAAUAAAAAGUAAAAAAAAAAAAAAAAGAAGAAGAAGCUAUGUUUUUAAAAUAUAAAUAUUUUGUAAUAACAAUAUACACUACUGGUCAGUAAUUUGGGGUCAGUAAUUUUUUUUCUUUCUUUUUUUUAAAUAAAAUCAAUACUUUUAUUCAGCAAGGAUGUGUUAAAUUGAUAAAAAGUGAUAGUAAAGAAAAUAUAUUACUAGAAUUUUUAUUUUUAUUUUGAAUAAAUGCAGUUCUUUUUAACCUUUUAUUCAUCAAAUAUAUUAGACAGCAGAACUGUUUCCAACUUUGAUAAUGAAUCAUCAUAUUAGAAUGAUUUCUAAAUGAUCAUGUGAUAGACUGGAUGUUACAUGUGACACUGAAGGCUGGAGUAAUGAUGCUGAAAAUACAGAUUUGAUGUUCCCCGAGGCGGCGGUGGCCGCUCACGAGUUUCCCGAGUUCCCCGAGGCGGCGGGUGCCGCUCACGACUCUCCCGAGUCCCCCGAAAUGGUUGUGGGCGCCGCUCACGAGUCCCCCGAAAUCCCGGCGGCGGCGGGCGCCGCUCACGACUCUCCCGAAGUCCCCGAGGCGGCGGCGGGCGCCGCUCACGACUCUCCCGAGGCGUCGGGUGCCGCUCACGACUCUCCCGAGUCCCCCGAAACGGCGGCGUCGGGUGCCGCUCACGACUCUCCCGAGUCCCCCGAAACGUCCGUGGUGGUGGCCGCUCACGACUCUCCCGAGGCGGCGGGUGCCGCUCACGACUCUCCCGAGUCCCCCGAAAUGGUUGUGGGCGCCGCUCACGAGUCCCCCGAAAUCCCCGAGGCGGCGGGCGCCGCUCACGACUCUCCCGAAGUCCCCGAGGCGGCGGCGGGUGCCGCUCACGACUCGCAGAGGCGGCAGUGGCCGCUCGGAAAGAACCAGAGGCGAAGGUGUCCGCUCACGAUCCUGGUUUUGCCCUGGGUUCCCACUCCACCGGCUCUGCCUCAGUCCCCUGGUCCCCCUCCAGCACACGGACCUGGACCCCCUCCCCCCCCCGCAUGGCCUCUCCUCUGGGUGGGGGGCCGCUGGAACGUCUGGAAUCCGUUCCUUAGAGGGGGGGUCCUGUCAUGAGUCCGGACCCGGUGUUCCUCCUCACCACCAGAGGGCACCACUUCCAUUCUCCCGGACUCAUUACCUUCACUCUGCACACCUGGUUCACUCGGCACACCUGUUUCACCCACUCACACGCACACACCUGGUGCCUAUUGUCACGGACUAUAUAGUUUUGUCUCACCCACCACUCUGCCUGGCUGUAUUGUUUAUUGUUAAUUGUUAGUCGAAUUCCGAGGUGUAUGCGUGUUAUCUGUUUCCUUUUUGUUUUUGCCCUGUUGGCCUUUUUGUUCUCAUUAAAGUUAUAAUUUCCCUGCAUUUGGACCCAGACCCUGUUUCUUCCACGGCGCUCUUUACCGCGCCGUGACAGAAAUCUAUUAUUUUAAUUUGUAAUAAUAUUUCACAAUAUUACUGUUUUUUUUUCUGUAUUUUUGAUCAAAUAAAUGCAGGCUUGAUGAGCA